UACAAAAUAAAAUCAUGUACAUGACAUUUACAUCCCAGCUGUACAGGAAAUAUCUAUGCGAAUGGCAUGUGAGUGUAGAAAAUAAAUCCAGAAACACAGAAACAUCUGCAUGAACACAUCAUUGUAUCGUUUCCAAAUGUUACUGUUACAGGUCUGAUCUCUGAAAUCUAAAAUCACAAGAAAUCUCAACGUCUCCCGAACAUCAACUUGCUAUCAUUUAUGACUGUUUCAAGCUAACGUUCUGUUCAGGAAGCAAUCGCCUGUUAGCGAUUAAGCAGGAGAACCAGGAGAGGAACCUGCAGAGGAACUCUUACCAACUUUUCCUAUUUACAGAAUACUUUAGUAUCAAAAUAUCUCACCCUUUAGCAUCAAACUAAAUUGCUUGAAUUAGCAUGCUAGUCAUAUUUGUAGGUAACUAACAGUAGAAAAACUAAAUGAGGCUGGAUCAUGAUGUUAAUGGUGGACACUUCUCUCUGUUGUGAGCUUCAUUAUGUGUUUGGUUUGUUCAGUUUGGCCUGAACCUCUAAACCCAACUCUAGAUCCAGGUCUGAACUGGUGGAACCAGAGAAUGGUUCUGUGAAUUAUAGUUGAUUUUCUGGAUCUAGAGCAUGUGUUAAGUAUGGAUUAGCAAGCCACAUCCACAAGCCAAGCAUGUAAAGAGCCCAUGAAACAGACAAACACUUCACACUCGAGCUCGCUGACGUCUUCACACCAAACUGAAGAAACCAAACACAGACGUCCUCUGCACAUUUUGCAACAUGUGGCAUCACGAAACGACUUAGUAAGAGAAAAGCUUUAAAACUGUAUUCAGGAUGGGAGAAUCGUCACCUUCAGAGCAUCAGGUCAAUUAAAAAAAACAUUAGAACACAGAAGCAGAAACUCAAUGUUGAUGUCAUGUAGCAGGCACAUCUCCCUCACAUGCUCUCUGGACAUGUUCAAGGUCAGAGCUGGAAGUUUCAAGGUCAGAGCUGUUCAUCAUGCU
Molecule: long non-coding RNA, 982 nt
Organism: Silurus meridionalis
Lineage: Eukaryota; Metazoa; Chordata; Actinopteri; Siluriformes; Siluridae
Exons: 3
Source: RefSeq, a predicted model, not a curated record